CCACCGCGGUUAUACGAGAGGCUCAAGUUGACGGACAUCGGCGUAAAGAGUGGUUAGGAAGUCUUUCAAACUAAAGCCGAACGCCCUCAGAACUGUUAUACGUACCCGAGGGUAAGAAGCCCCCCUACGAAAGUGGCUUUAUAUCUCCGACCCCACGAAAGCUGCGAAACAAACUGGGAUUAGAUACCCCACUAUGCCCAGCCCUAAACUUUGAUAGCCCACUACACCCGCUAUCCGCCCGGGUACUACGAGCACUAGCUUAAAACCCAAAGGACUUGGCGGUGCUUUAGAUCCACCUAGAGGAGCCUGUUCUAGAACCGAUAACCCCCGUUAAACCUCACCCUCUCUUGUUCUUCCCGCCUAUAUACCGCCGUCGUCAGCUUACCCUAUGAAGGAGCCACAGUAAGCAGAACUAGUACAACUCAAAACGCCAGGUCGAGGUGUAGCAUAUGAGAGGGGAAGAAAUGGGCUACAUUCCCUACCACAGGGAAUACGAACAAUGUAAUGAAAUAUACAUUAGAAGGAGGAUUUAGCAGUAAGCAGAAAAUAGAGCGUUCCGCUGAAACCGGCCCUGAAGCGCGCACACACCGCCCGUCACUCUCCCCAAACCAACUAACAUCCUAUAAAUAAUACAUAUUAUCGGUAAAGGGGAGGCAAGUCGUAACAUG
RNAcentral lists this ribosomal RNA (668 nucleotides) under Oreochromis niloticus (Nile tilapia). RNAcentral's name for it is "partial 12S ribosomal RNA". It matches the Rfam family "Bacterial small subunit ribosomal RNA", at positions 512 to 1495 of the family's 1533-position model. The record is from RNAcentral. Lineage: Eukaryota; Metazoa; Chordata; Actinopteri; Cichliformes; Cichlidae.